ACACUCUCAGUACAACGACAACUAACUAGUUAAUUUACAAUUUACGUACAAUGCGAUAGCUGGCAUCCACAUUCGCCCCAAAAUGUGCGGUUAAAAUCCCCCCGCGAACCGCAGAGCGGCGGCGAAACAGUCGGACAAAAGCGACCGAGAGAAACGAAGCGAGAAGAAGAAGGGCAGAUUAAACAAGUUUGCGUGGAACGGAACGAAAAAUUGCGUGAAAAGAAGAAAGCCACAACGAGCAGAUGCAAUAAUGCCUAAUGUUUAAACAAAUUCGCCAAGGAGAGUUUCGAGUCCAUUUUUUGUUUAAGUCCGUCAUACGUGCGUGCGUGUGAGUAAGUGUGUACAUGUAGUGUGUGUGUGUGUGAGUAGUGGAAAGAGUGGAAAUAAUGAGAGUGUCUCAGUCCGAGUGCAAAUGAAGUUGGCCAAGCCCAAAACGAGAAUUAAUUAAAGCGACUAAGAAAAGUGCCCAUCGCGGAGGAUUAACUACGCCCAGGGGUCAGCCAAAAAGAGAGAAAGAAACAGAAAAAGAAACUAACCCAACCGAUCGGGGGCAGGACGAGGAAGGAUCCAAUCCAAAAUGAGCGAGGAACUGAAAGUGGUGCUGCGCCGCAGCGAGCAGCAUUCCGGUUUCGGGUUUUCGCUGCUCGGAACCACCGGACCGCCACAUGUCAUCUACGACAUCGUCGAGAAUUCGCCGGCAGCCGAUUGCGGAGCGGUUGAGGCCGGGGAUGUCAUCCUCAAAGUCAACGGAACGGAUGUCCAUCGCUACACAACGAAGGAAGUUCUCAAAUGCCUGCGCCUGUCGGAACAGCUGGUGACCUUGGAGCUGAAGCGAGAUCCCAAGCUCAAGGCGCGGAUCAAAGAGCAGCUGGCCAACACGCAGAGUCCGCACUAUGUGGACAUUGAGUCGCCGAACAUCUACGACUACCACAGCAACAGUACCAACUCCUCGCCGAAUCACCGGGCCAACGCCGGCGGAAAGGGGACGGCGACGACCACGCCCUCUCAGAGCGGAUUGCGCUACAAGUCGCCCACGCACUUGCCCUCGCUGCGCCAGAAUUCGUCGCCCCUGCUGGCGAGUGGAUCCACCACGACCACGACCACCGCCACGCAUACGCACACCCACAGUCGCAACUCCUCGACCAGCUCUACUAAGAUCAAGUUGGUGGAGACGAGCAUCACCACCUCGACCACGGGCAUAGUGGGUCUUGCUUCACCCACCGGCAGUGCUGGUGGUGGGGAAGCCACCUCGCCCACCUUUCGUCCCUCACGCAUUCCACAAGCGCUGACCAAAUGUGCCGUACCCAAGCCCGUGCCCGUUCUCCAUUCGCCCCAGAAUAAGCGGCCACGCCCCUCGCAGAUUCCAACGAAGGCGGCGAACGGCAACGGGAACGGCCAUACCGCCCAGCUGCCACCCCAAUCGCUGCAGCACUCGAACAGCUACAGCGGCAGUCCGGUGACCAGGCAGCGGUUCACGGACAGGGAGCAGGAACGGGAGCCGGAACCGAACUCGGCGCCACCGCAGCCGGCGAAGGCGCCACGCUUUGAGGCUUAUAUGAUGACCGGUGACCUGAUCCUCAAUCUGUCCCGGACACCGCAAACCAGCAAUCCUCUGCCCGCCCAGGCCAAGAAGGUGGACAGUCUGCGGGAUUCGCCCAGUCGCCUGGUUAACGCGCGUAUCAAUGGUGCAUUAGCACCACGUGCCUCUGGUGAAUCCUCGCCCACUUCCUCCUCCUCGGUGGACUCGCCAACCAACACCAGCUCGGAUUCGGUGAAGCGCGAGGCGAAGUUGCUGAGGAAACAACAACAACAACAACAACAACAGCAGCAGCAGCAACAACAACCUCACCAACAGCAACAGCAGCGGGACAGCAUCAACAACAGCUACAACCGCAAGGAUUCGCUGACCAACGACACGCUGCUAAUGUGCGAGGAGCUGGAGCCUGACGAGGAGGGUGAAUACGUCCUGGAGGAGGACAACAAGCAGCAGCGACAACGCCAACAGCAGAAUCGAUACCGCCAGCAGCAAAACCAGCAACGCUACGAAUACUACCAAAAUGAUGAUGAGCUGGAGGAGCACGAGGAGGUGGAGGAGCGUGAGGAGGAUCAAACGCACUACGACAUCACCAACAUCGACACCUACCAGAGCGGACUGGGCCGUGGUGACGAGGAUGACAGCGAUCGGCAGUGUCUGGUGGACGACGACGACGAUGACGAUGCCUACGACGAGGAGGAUAACGAUGCCGGCGACGAGGAUUACUCGACCAACUCGCUGGGCUCUGGUUCGGCCAAGCAGAGAUUGCGGGCGCUAAAGCAACGGACCGCCACCCGCCAGCAGCAACGAAAUCGGGAUGCCGUCGACUGCGCCGGACGCUCCGGAUCGGGAUCUUCGUCCACCACGGUCAAGAGCGAGGCGGGCGGCCUGGGCCUGGACGAAACUUCCUUCUCAGUGCCAACCUCUCCGAUCUCUCUGUCGACGCCGCUGAUCGACAAGGAGACGGCCAACUCGGUGCCUACCAGCCCGGAGCCCAGUUCGCUAGUCCCGGAGUCGAGCAGUGGCGCUGGCGCCGGAGCAGUCGUGGUGCGCCGGCACAACGGGCAUGUGGUGCGGAAGUGCGAUGCCGCCGGUUUCCGCACCAGCAAGUCCGAGGACCAUCUGCAGCAGAUCCAGCGCGAGGGCAUCGCCGCCGUGAUACCCAUCGACAUCGAUGAGGAUGUGAAUAGCUCGCUGAACACGCUGCUUGACACGCGUCAGGACUCCGAGGACUCGCAGUCGAUGGCCACUGUAAUUGCAAACAACUCGCCACUGGCCUCGAACAACAACGAGGGCGAGCAGAACGACAACCGCAGCAGCAGCAGCAGCUCCAGCGACAACAAUAAUUGCAGCAGCAGCAACACCAGCGAACCAGCAACAUCAACUGCAACAAUAACGACUGCAACUGCAACAUCAACGAGAACGAUGAAUUGCAGCAGCAAAUUAAACUAUAUUUUAUGCAAAAAGGCUUCGGAUCGCGAUCGGAUCGUGUGGACCUAUAAUGCCCCACUGCAGCCGCACCAAUUGGCGGCCCUCCAGCGACAGCAGCAACAGCAAGAGCAGCAAUUCCAACAGCAACAGCAGCAACUCCAGCAGCAACAUCAGCAGCAACUCCAGCAGCAACAACAGCAGCAGCAACAGCAGCAACUCUACGGUCAGCAAUCGCAUUCAAAUUCACAUUCAAGUUCCAUUAGUUCGUCGCCCCAGCACUCGGCUGUGGGCAGUCCGGCCUCGCCCACGUCGGUUUCCUCGUCGGUGAUGUCCUCGUCGGGCUCCAAGGGCGCCCUGGGCCUGGGCAGCAGCAGCAACGGUCCCAUGGCCGCCGUGCAGCAACAACAGCAGCAGCGGGAGCAGGGCGGCCAGGUCGCGCAUCCGCCCAGCGGGAUUCCCGGCCUGCUGAGCUGCCCAGGCGCCGUGCCCGGAAACAAUGGUGGUGGUGGAGGCAUUUGUGGUGGCGGUGGUGGUGGCAACAACGAUCAGAGCGUCUCAGAGGCCAUUUCGAAUAUAUCUAGUCCCGACUACCAAGACGACGAUAACUUAUUAAGCUCUCGCGAUAUUCUAGGCGGCAUGGUACUUAGCGAUCCCAGUGACUCGGACUCAACCAUCCUCGUCUCGGACGCGGCCGCCCAGCAGCGCCAGCAGCUCAAGCAGCAGUUGCGCGCCCAGCAGCAACAGCAGAGGGAGAGGGACAGGGAGCGGGAGAGGGAUCGGGAUCGGGACCGGGAACAGUCCGAGCAUAAGGUGGUCAUCCAAGUGCGGGGACUGGACAGCAACAGCAGCGGCGGCGGCAACGGCCGCUCCGAAGAGGAUGUGGUCACGCUGACGGAAGAGCCGCUGGGCACGAUGGCCAUUGGUAUGCGGGACGCCUCGCCGCCCGUCUCCGACGAUGGCAGCGAUGUGGAGUCACUCCACUCGUACCACUACUCGCCCAAGGCCGUGGACAUGCCCUCGGCCAUUCGCCUGGCCAAAAGACUGUACUCACUCGACGGUUUCAAGAAGAGUGAUGUGUCGCGACACCUCAGCAAAAACAAUGACUUUAGUCGAGCGGUGGCCGAUGAGUAUCUUAAGCAUUUCACCUUCGAGAAGAAGUCACUGGACCAAGCGCUGCGUGAGUUUCUGCAGCAGUUUUCACUGUCCGGCGAAACGCAGGAACGGGAGCGGGUGCUGGUGCACUUUUCCAAGCGCUUCCUCGACUGCAAUCCUGGCACCUUCAACUCGCAGGACGCCGUGCACACGCUGACCUGUGCCAUAAUGCUGCUGAAUACGGACCUGCACGGCCAGAACAUGAAUCGCAAGAUGAGCUGUGCGGAAUUCGUCGACAACCUGGCGGAUCUCAACGAUGGCGAGAACUUUCCCAAGGAUGUGCUCAAGUCGCUUUACCAGGCCAUUAAAACCAAGCCGCUGGAGUGGGCACUAGAUGAAGAGGCGGGCGAUCUGCAGCAGCAAAGAGCCAACAAUUGUGCCCUUGGGAAUGUUGGACAGAAUCCCUUCCUCGAUCCCCCCGAACUGGCCACAGCUGUGGAGUACAAAAAAGGCUAUGUGAUGCGUAAAUGCUGCUACGACAGCAGCUUUAAGAAAACUCCCUUUGGCAAGCGCUCCUGGAAGAUGUUUUACUGCACGCUGCGUGAUCUUGUGCUGUAUUUGCAUAAAGAUGAACACGGUUUUCGCAAAAGUCAAAUGUCCGACAAUCUGCACAAUGCAAUACGCAUACAUCACGCACUGGCCACCAAGGCCAACGACUACACCAAGAAGCAACAUGUGUUCCGUCUGCAGACGGCCGACCAGGCCGAGUAUCUGUUCCAGACCAGCGACUCCAAGGAGCUGCAGUCGUGGGUUGAGACGAUCAAUUAUGUGUGCGCCGCUAUAUCAGCGCCACCGCUCGAGGGCGGCGUGGGCAGUCAAAAGCGGUUCCAGCGUCCGCUCCUGCCCAGCAAACAGUCCAAGCUGCUGCUGAAGGAGCAAUUGGAUUCGCACGAGGUGCAGUUGGCCCAGUUGGAUCAAGAGCUGAAUGAGCACAAGAAGGGUCCGAUUCCCAGCAAGGGCUUGGCUCUGCAGAACUACAAGGAGAAGGAGAGCUACCUGCAGUACGAACUGAGACGCUACCGCACCUAUGUGAGCAUCCUGAGCGCCAAGAUGCUGGCUGACCAGCAGCAGCUGGAGUUGCAAGCACUGCAGCCGACUCCGGCGGCACACGAGGAAGAGGCCGACACAUUCCCAGUGGGCACCACCGCCUGCCCGCCACCCACGCCGCAAAGUAUUAACCAGAAGGAUCUGCAGAAGGAGCAGCAGCAGCAACAGCCAACGAACAGGUACAGUCAGCAGCAGCGCCCCAGCGGCAGCAGCUCCUCGUCAGCCGGCCAUGUGCAGCAGGACAUUGGCUGACGCGUAAUGGGAGUUUUCUCAGCUUGUGUGGUUUAAGCGAUCGCUCCGAUCCACUCGUUAUAUUCCGUUUAUAUCCUUAGCUAUAUGUUUCUUCUGUUCCUUUGCCGCUUUCGUUGUUAUUUUGUGUUGAGCUUUCCCCGAGAUUUCCCUCCUUCAUUACUGUUGUGUUGUUCGUCCCGCAGAGCGCCCAGGAUCUCAGUGUCGACCAAUGUGGGUUGGCGCAAGCUACUCUGGGACUCCGUUUGCUGCGGUGUUUUGUUGUGUUGCUGGCAUUACUGUGCUGUUAUCACUGUUUUAACCUAAUCCGUUCUCUAUGUAAAUAUAUUUCGUGUUCGUUCCUUUCGUUUUGCAUUUCGCAUCGCCAUCAUAAUGCCCCCGCAUCCCCACAAGUACAAGCUUUAAUUUUGAAUAGUUUUAACUACGAUACGUAUAACAAUAACUGAAUCCAGACUUAAGUGUUGCGCGUUGGCAAUUAAAACCACGAGGAGACAGAGAGACCCCUAAUGUAAUUAGUUCUUAUGUGAAUAAUGGUUUUAUUUUGGAUGCAACCACAACCACACAACAUGCUGUGAAAACUCAAUGAACAAUUCAUAAUCGAUAAUUAGGAAUUUAGAGACCCAAACGAGCGACCGUUUGGAAAGGAUUUAAAGUCAAGAUUCGAAUAGUUAACUAUAGAAAACCGUUUUUUGUAGCACUAGUAGUAAUCCAAAGUUUUGGCGUUAUAUGUAUACAAACAACAAAAAUUAUAUUUAGAAACGAAAUUGAACGAAGAAUUGUAGAAAACACAAAUGUGGUUCAUUAGUAGCAAACGUUUACGUUUAAACCUAAGCUAGAGGCAUUCUAAAUAUACAUGCAAACAACAUAAUCACAAACGAAAAAUAGCAUUAAACACGUUUUACAAACCCGCACACAUUCAGCAGAUAGAGAUACAAUUUUAAGUAGACAGAAUCAAUUAAGCCAUUCCACACCCACACACGACACGAUACUGCACUAAUUGCUGGUGGUUACACCGAUGUACCAUAUAAGACUCAUGCUAACCCGACGACAUUUGGUGACCCCGACCCCUAGGUGAACCCAAUGCAGUUGCCCGUUACUCGUUGCCCGUUUGCCAUUACGUUAUCCCGUUCAAAUGCGUUGCUACGUUCCACUUAAAUGCAAUGUCACAAGUGAAAAGCAAAACCCAAAUGGAAGAAUUCUUCAAUCUUACAGAUGGUUCGAUGUCUUCUGCUGCUGUAGCCCACUCUGGCGGCACUUGAUCCAUUCGAAAAGCCAUUAACCAACUUAGUCUCUUGCCAAGAUUUAGCAUCAGCCACAGCACAGUCCACGAAGCACCGCGCCAGAGGCUAGUGAUCCGCUCCAAGAGGUGCUCCUUGUAAAUGCCCCGACCCGUACUGACCGCCUGUCUUAAAUGUGAGCAGGCCGAGGCCAAAUCUCAAUGUUAAUUGUUAACUCUUCAGUGUCUAGCUUGGCUUAGUGCGAACCUAUACGAAUAUCCACCAUCUGACACCCCGUUUUUCGUUUCCAAAUCCACGAUUGCUAACCUCGCUUAUCGUUCUACACUUGCAGAAAAGAGAAGAAAAAGAAAUAAUUAAGUUUUAUUUCGCUCUUGAUUUCGAUCAUUUCAAAACUCGCAUACCAACACACACACCUUCACCACAAUCCCCGCCUUCUGGCCAUCGAGCAGCAGGCGAUUGAAUGAAUGAAUUUGAAUAGAAUACUCCGAAAUGCCAGGCUGCCUCCGCCGGGAAUACAGACAGAUCAGAUUCACAGAUCCACAGAACCACUCACCCACUCGCAUACUCUGCACCACUCACGCCACACCCACCCACUUACACUCAAGCGUUGCGGCUGUGCCGUGCAUGCCACAGAAGAAAUUCGGAAUUUGUGCACUUUCAAUUACUUGAAACCCCAACAUGGGAGAUCAUUUGAGACAAUUAGACUACCAACACGAUAAUUAACGAGGGAAAGUUUUACGUUUGAAGGUCGUUCAUCAGAAGGUAUCGGCACUAUCUCGAAUUCGAGCAUUUGGUAUCUUAAGUAUGAAGCUACUUAUCCGUAAGCGGGUACUCGAAAUCGGUUUCACCUGAGUUGAAGCUACACAAUCUAUUCGGUUCUAAUUUGAAUUAUCAUUCAUGUUUGCUUCGCCAAAGAUUCUGCUGGACGGCUGCUUAGGAGCGAGAAUGAAUACUGCUUAUAAACAUAGACUUAUUAUUACAAGAGUUGAUAAACAAUACUUACAUCAUUACCUAUGCUAUCAUUAUAAAUGAUAAAAAUAAAUUAUAAAUUAUUGAACAAUAUCUCUACGCAACUAGAAGAUGGAGAACAUCGGCAGUAACAAUAACACAAUGAGAACGAGGACAAGAGCAUUAGCAUUAAACCUAAGCAAUUACUACCAUACCACGUACGACUUGUUUUUGGUCUUUUGCGAUACAUUAUCACAUUAUCUGUGUAGGUACACUUACUCUAAUAUUAUGUACGGAUUAAUAUAUUUAUUUAAACACUUAUCGGUUGAUUACGCGACAUGUCCAUGUAGCUAGAAUAUGAAAUUGAUAUCGAUUACGGGGUAAAGAGAGACAAGGAGGAAUCAAUAAAUUUAAAUACAUCAUAUAUUUUUGAAUAUAUUAUCAUUAUUGUAUUGUGUAAUUAUGUAAAUGCAGAUUAUAUAACAUUGUUUAUAAUAAUUUUUAACAAUUCAACUGAAACGGCAAUAAAUUCGAGCAAACAAACUAACUAAAAAGUGAAAGCAACUUGCCUGCAAACCAAGCGCCUAAAUGUAUGCAUAUUGUAUAUUUAUUUAGUCAAACAUUUUAACUGGCUUACGAGGGCAUCACUUAGUUUUAAAAGCAUAUACACAUAUACAUAUAUGAACAAUAUAUAGUAUAUAUAUGAAUGCUCAUGUGAGCAACCAAACAAUUACGAUAUGAAUCAUUAAAUACUUCCGAAAGCAUUAAA
Molecule: RNA transcript, 8368 nt
Organism: Drosophila subpulchrella
Lineage: Eukaryota; Metazoa; Arthropoda; Insecta; Diptera; Drosophilidae
Gene: Efa6
Gene name: ribosome-releasing factor 2, mitochondrial
Exons: 14
Source: RefSeq, a predicted model, not a curated record